UACGUAGGGUGCAAGCGUUAAUCGGAAUUACUGGGCGUAAAGCGUGCGCAGGCGGCUUUGCAAGACAGAUGUGAAAUCCCCGGGCUCAACCUGGGAACUGCAUUUGUGACUGCAAGGCUAGAGUACGGUAGAGGGGGAUGGAAUUCCGCGUGUAGCAGUGAAAUGCGUAGAUAUGUGGAGGAACACCGAUGGCGAAGGCAGCCCCCUGGGUUAACACUGACGCUCAUGCACGAAAGCGUGGGGAGCAAACAGG
This 253-nucleotide ribosomal RNA is filed under the name uncultured bacterium. Its description in RNAcentral is "partial 16S ribosomal RNA". It matches the Rfam family "Bacterial small subunit ribosomal RNA", at positions 524 to 776 of the family's 1533-position model. The record is from RNAcentral.